AAAAAAGGCAAGGAACUGAAGGAAUAGUCCAUGCUCAUUUAUCCAUCUAAGCUGAGCCAAACUAAGAGUAGCUGGCAUUAGGCUUUAACAGAAUAGCAUCUUAAUUGCUUAUCAGGAUGAGAAAGAAAUACCCACAGCAUGGAUAAUUCUGAAUGGAGCUGCUAAGCCACCUUAGGCAGACUGAAGUUGGGGAGGUUGAGAAACAUGAAAUGCUUUCCUCAGAAACAAAGGAUGUACAUGCAGAGACACCCUGACAAAGUCUCAAAAGCCCACCAGCUGAGAAGAAUCUAGGAAUACCAACAUUUAAAGCUGGAAAGGAAUGGAAAAGGACAAACAAAGAAGAAAGGAUGGAGGGUUCUUACAUGCCCACCCAGCUGGAAGAUGAAAAAGAGAAAGCAAAGAGUAAGUAUUAGGCUAUAAGUUUCUUCUCUGCUUUUUCUCACAGAAAAGGAGCCAGAUGAGGUCAAGAAGAAAACAAGAUAUUUAUGACGUCCAUUUUAAAGUAUUUUAAAAGAAAUAUGAAUAUCAAGACUGAAGUUCAUCAAGAUCUUGGUAUAAAAUACAAUAGAAGAUAUUCAAGUGCAAGGUCCUCUACCUGGGUCACCGCAAUCUCAAGCACAAUUGCAUACUGGGUGGAGAACGGUUUGAGAGUACCCCUGAGAAGAACGCUUUAGAGGUGCUUGUGGAUGAGAAGUUCAAUGUGAGCCAGCAACGUGCACUUGCAGCCCAGAAAGCCAAACGAAUCCAAGGCUGCAUCAAAAGUAGGAUGAUGUUAGACCAAAUCCAGAGGAGGGCUAUGAAGAUGGUCAGAGGGCUGGAGCACCUCCUACAUGAGGACAGGCUGAGAGAGUUGGGAUUGUUCAGGCUGAAGAAGAGAAGGCUCUGGGGAGAUCUUAUAGCAGCAUUCCAGCACCUGAAGGGCCUACAGGAAAGAUCGGCAGGGGCUCUUUCUCAGACAGUGCAGUGGUAGGACAAGGAGUAGUGGUUUUAAGCUGAAAGAGGGUGCAUUUAGAUUAGCUAUUAGGAAGCAAUUUUUUACUGUGAAGGUGCCGAGGCACUGGAACAGGUUGCCCAGAGAAGUUGUGGAUGCCGCACCCCUGGAGAUGUUCAAGAUCAGGCUGGACAGGGCCUUGAACAGCCUGUUCUAGUGGAAGGUGUUCUUGUCCGUGGCAGGAGGGUUGGAAAUGGAUGAUCUUUAAGGUCUUUUCUGUCCCAAACCAUUCUACGAUUCAAUGUUUGUGACAAAAGUUCUUGUAUCAGAAUGACCUUUUACAGUAA
Long non-coding RNA from Cuculus canorus (common cuckoo), 1278 nucleotides. RefSeq lists it as uncharacterized. The record is from RefSeq and is a predicted model, not a curated record. The transcript has 5 exons. NCBI's taxonomy places the organism in Eukaryota, Metazoa, Chordata, Aves, Cuculiformes, Cuculidae.